This is a long non-coding RNA of Chinchilla lanigera (long-tailed chinchilla), 1220 nucleotides long. RefSeq lists it as uncharacterized. The record is from RefSeq and is a predicted model, not a curated record. The transcript has 3 exons. Lineage: Eukaryota; Metazoa; Chordata; Mammalia; Rodentia; Chinchillidae.
AGAAUUCCUCAGCAUUCUGAGCAGAUUAUAUGGGGGAAGAAAGAACAAGAAAGUGAGCCCUGAGCUAGCAAGGGGCUGUGGCUGCUGCUGCUGCUGCUGGCAUGUGCGGGCACCAGGCACCAUUCCCAGUGCCUCACACCUGUGAGCUCUCUUCACCUCCCAGCCCUGGGCAGUGGGCACUAUGCUCAUCCCCACUUUGCAGGUGAGGACGUGGAGGCCCAGGGAGGUGUCGUGGCUUUCCCAGUGUGCACAAUGGGGAAACUGAGGCCAAGGCAAUGACGGUCCACAGUGGCAGAGAAAUUGGUGGCAGAGCCAGGAGGAGCGGUCCCUUUGCAUGACAUCUCGAUGGUGCAGACCGGAUAUUAAAGGAAGUGACUGCUGUGGUCCAGGCAUGUCACAGAUCACUGCAACAGAAGGGUCUUACUUGUUCACACUGGUCCUGGGUGGAUAUUAAGGGCGAGGUUCAAUCUGUCUUCCAUACUGACCUUCAGAGACCCAGGUCUCUUCCAUUCUGCAGUUCUUCACCACAGUCUGCCUCCAGGGACAGAAGACAGAGCCCUGGGCCAGUCAGGUCAAUCCCACUUCCGCUAUGUUGAAUACCAUGGCACUCUGCUCUGGUGUUUACUGCUGCCCACAUCCUGGCCUUGACCUCUUCCUUCCAGACCUCGGCCUUGUCUCGCUCAGCCCUUCUGUCCACCCAGGAAGGCCCUGCCUGGGGUCCGGCUGGCCAGUGGGCGAGGCUGCAGCCAAAGUCUCCAAGCGGAGGGGGCUGGAGUCCCUGAGCAGCUGGUGUGUGCGCUCAGUAAUCAUCCAGUCUGCAUGCAGGGGGGCUGCCUCCCCCAUCCUGUGUCAGGAGAGAACAGGAAGCUGCAGCUGGCAAGUCCACAAUUGGAGUCUGCCCACGCAGAGCUACAAAUCCUUCUCCCUGAAUUUCAAUGUGCCUGGUGCGGCAGAGAAGGAAGCUGUUCCCACCUCUAAGAAGAGUUGCUGAGACAAAGGGGGCUCCUGCUGCCCCCUCCGAGGGUUGACCGCAUAAGCCUGGGAAGGCCUGGCUUCUCUUCUGAAGGCCCUGUUUUUGCCAGGGUCCAUCCAGGCUGGCAUGUUUCUUGGGAACAAUGGGAGUCUGGGCCAUCGGGCCUGGCAUUCAAGGCCUCCUCCUUCUAGCCGCCCCCACCGUCUUUCUCUCUAACGGGUCCCCAGAGCAUGCUCUUUCCCAAGGC